Non-coding RNA from Triticum aestivum (bread wheat), 142 nucleotides. Lineage: Eukaryota; Viridiplantae; Streptophyta; Magnoliopsida; Poales; Poaceae. The record is from Rfam.
CCACUCGACGAGGAUGAUAUGGUUUCCUACAUCCUUGCCGGACUUGAUUUCGACUACAUCUCGUUCGUCUCAUCCAUCUGCGCUGCAAGGACCGAGCACAUCAAGGUAGCUGAACUUUACUCCCAGCUGAUCGGUUUUGAAA